GCUUACGGUCAUACUACCCUGAAAACGCUCAAUCUCGUCUGAUCUCGGAAGCUAAGCAGGGGUUGGCCAGGUUAGUACUUGGAUGGGAGACCACCUGGGAAUACCAGGUGCUUUAAGCU
Astyanax mexicanus (Mexican tetra) is the source of this 119-nucleotide ribosomal RNA. The record is from Ensembl. Lineage: Eukaryota; Metazoa; Chordata; Actinopteri; Characiformes; Acestrorhamphidae.